UUUGUGUUUUGCUCUCAACGUUUAUUUUGGCCUUCUUUUUCUGGCCAAAUGAUUUAAUUUCAUGCAUUUCGCUUUGCGGCAAUGGUGCUGCUUAUUAGUUGCAAUUUGCCAGCUGUGGUAUAAGUUUACUCUAGCCAAAACCAACAGCCAGCACCGCAAACUAAACCAAAUAAAUAAAAUAAUUGCCUUUCCGAGAAGUUGAUAGAAUGGGUAAAAAUAAAGGAGGCGGUGGCGGCGGAGGAGGAGGAGGUGGCGGUGGUGGAGGCGGCGGCAAUGUAAGCAAUAUUUGUGUUAUGCAACUUGCGUACUAAUUAAAAAGGGCGGCGGUGGUGGAGGCGGCGGCGGAGGCGGAGGUGGCUCCGGAAAUAAAAACAAAGGCGGCGAUGGAGGCGGCGGUGACAAAGGUGGAGCCAAGAAAGGACAGGACCAAAAGGCAGCCGCAGGCGGUGGCAAGAAGGGAGGCAAGAAAUAGCAACCGUGGCAACAUCAAAGCGCAUUAAAAAUUACAAAUUUAGAGUUAAGUUGAAAUUAAAAGUGAUAUCAGGGUGUAUAUUUCUAUAAUGUAUGUGACUUUCUUACA
Drosophila santomea is the source of this 580-nucleotide RNA transcript. It is a transcript of the gene named putative glycine-rich cell wall structural protein 1, with no coding region annotated. The record is from RefSeq and is a predicted model, not a curated record. NCBI's taxonomy places the organism in Eukaryota, Metazoa, Arthropoda, Insecta, Diptera, Drosophilidae. The transcript is spliced from 2 exons.